GAUGAACGCUGGCGGCGUGCCUAACACAUGCAAGUCGAACGGAGUUUAACGCUGAUGAAGCUUCGGCAGAUUCUUGUUAAACUUAGUGGCGGACGGGUGAGUAACGCGUGGGUAACCUGCCUCAUACAGGGGGAUAGCAGUUGGAAACGACUGAUAACACCGCAUAAGCGCACGGUAUCGCAUGAUACAGUGUGAAAAUAUUUAUAGGUAUGAGAUGGACCCGCGUCUGAUUAGCUAGUUGGUGAGGUAACGGCCCACCAAGGCGACGAUCAGUAGCCGGCCUGAGAGGGCGGACGGCCACAUUGGGACUGAGACACGGCCCAAACUCCUACGGGAGGCAGCAGUGGGGGAUAUUGCACAAUGGGCGAAAGCCUGAUGCAGCGACGCCGCGUGAGUGAAGAAGUAUUUCGGUAUGUAAAGCUCUAUCAGCAGGGAAGAAAGACCUCGUAAGAGGGGAUGACGUAC
RNAcentral lists this ribosomal RNA (465 nucleotides) under bacterium AB2020. RNAcentral's name for it is "bacterial SSU rRNA". It matches the Rfam family "Bacterial small subunit ribosomal RNA", at positions 28 to 478 of the family's 1533-position model. RNAcentral also lists the same sequence under 1 other name. The record is from RNAcentral.